This 105-nucleotide small nucleolar RNA is filed under the name Thermococcus camini. Its description in RNAcentral is "Thermococcus sp. IRI35c snoR9". It matches the Rfam family "Small nucleolar RNA snoR9", at positions 1 to 107 of the family's 128-position model. From Rfam's summary of the family: snoRNA R9 is a member of the C/D class of snoRNA which contain the C (UGAUGA) and D (CUGA) box motifs. R9 was identified in a computational screen in AT-rich hyperthermophiles. The record is from RNAcentral. Lineage: Archaea; Methanobacteriati; Methanobacteriota; Thermococci; Thermococcales; Thermococcaceae.
UGGCCCGGCGCCCGCCCACCCCGCGGAGGAGUGAGGCGGGGGUUCCGGCCGGGCCAACAGGGGGAUGACGAGCUUUUGCUUUGCUGACUGUGAUGAGCACGCCCU